This 51-nucleotide transfer RNA is filed under the name Aechmea alopecurus. RNAcentral describes it as "partial tRNA-Phe". Lineage: Eukaryota; Viridiplantae; Streptophyta; Magnoliopsida; Poales; Bromeliaceae. The record is from RNAcentral.
GUCGGGAUAGCUCAGUUGGUANAGCAGAGGACUGAAAAUCCUCGUGUCGCC